AAUUCUCAACCUAACAAGUUCUUAACGGGGCUUGCUUAGGCUUGGACUUGGAGGCUUGUCGGCUCUUAGCAGUCGGCUCCUCUCAAAUGCAUUAGCUUGGUUCCUUGCGGAUCGGCUCACGGUGUGAUAAUUAUCUGCGCCGCGACCGUUGAAGCGUUUAAUGGCCAGCUUCUAAUCGUCUCUUGCGAGACAGCUUUCAUCGAA
This 204-nucleotide unclassified non-coding RNA is filed under the name uncultured Trametes. Its description in RNAcentral is "sequence contains ITS2". Lineage: Eukaryota; Fungi; Basidiomycota; Agaricomycetes; Polyporales; Polyporaceae. The record is from RNAcentral. RNAcentral also lists the same sequence under 1 other name.